Molecule: long non-coding RNA, 610 nt
Organism: Rhododendron vialii
Lineage: Eukaryota; Viridiplantae; Streptophyta; Magnoliopsida; Ericales; Ericaceae
Exons: 3
Source: RefSeq, a predicted model, not a curated record
AUGGGUCUGCUUCAAGCGUCACCGUAAAAAUAUGGCGGGAAACCCUGGCGGCCUAGCCGCACUCCACUUCAUCUCUCUCUCUCACUAAACCAGCGUACUCCACUCCAUCUCCCUCCCUCUCCUCUCUCUCGCACUCCACCAAACCAUAGCCAUCGCCGCCGCCAGUCAGUUGCAGUGCCGGGUUCUACCUUCAUUCCGACAUCGAUCGUCCGCGAUCCUUAUGGUGCUGCCCAUUCUCAAGCAAUGAAACGACUAGGUCAAGAAGAUUCAGAGCCAGGGGAGUGGAUUCUGGCAUGGAGAAGACGCUUGAACUCUUCUCGAUCGCCUGGUCUCAAAGGUUGUCUCUCUCAUCAACUGGGGGGAGGUCAUGGGAGUUAUAGCUCCAGUUAGACAGCAGGCAGGAAUGACAUGCUUUGCACUUGUGGCGAGUGAUGUGGUGACAAGCCUCCUAGUGCUAUAUGAGACGGUAAAAAGUUGCUCCCCUAGCCACGCAGGAGCUGCUAGAUUUACGUACUGGGUAGAAGGGAGAGGAGGCUCGUUAAUCAGUCUUUUGAUUAUAUUUGUACGCACGGAUUAGCCUAUGAGAAGGACUACCCAUUUACGGGUAUUA